AUGAGCCAGGAAGAAGAGGCCCUCGAGAGACCUUCCCACUUGGCUGAUAAUGUGGAAACUAAUUCUACCUUUACCGAUUGGACUGGUCCAACAUCUCCACAUGACACCCUACCUGUUGGCGCAAGGGAAUUUAUUUAGGUAGGCUUUGCCCUGGGACCAAAGAACAAAGGGAAGCUCAGCUCUCACUACCAGUGAAUGAUGAAAUGCCUCGACUUAGAAACCACAACCCUUCUGUCGAGAGGAAAAUCCUUUCAAGCAAGAUAGAAUCUUAG
RNAcentral lists this long non-coding RNA (272 nucleotides) under Vicia faba (fava bean). Lineage: Eukaryota; Viridiplantae; Streptophyta; Magnoliopsida; Fabales; Fabaceae. The record is from RNAcentral.